GCUUCAGGCAAUUGGCAUAAAUAACCUUCAAAAGUUUAAAAUACAGGGGGAAAGGAAAAGAAAGAAAGAAAAAAAGAAUUUAACACAAAAGCCACAUACCCUACCCUGUUAAACCCGAGAGCUUGUCUGUGAGACCAGAUAAAGCUUGUUCUUUAAGGGUGUAGGUAGCUGUUUUUACACUGGAACUGUAAAAUGAAACUACAAUUCAGAAGGGAUCUCACGGCCAGCGAGUACGGAUCAUCGACUGCCUGAUGGGACAAGGACGGUGUCCUGGGGUCAUCUUUGUGGUCCGGAACCCUAGUCUUUGACUGAAAGAACUUGUAAAAACAAUGGAGGUUAAAUGGGAAAUUAAAACAUACCUGAAGCAGGUUUCUUGGUUCAAAUCUU
Molecule: long non-coding RNA, 387 nt
Organism: Anguilla rostrata (American eel)
Lineage: Eukaryota; Metazoa; Chordata; Actinopteri; Anguilliformes; Anguillidae
Exons: 2
Source: RefSeq, a predicted model, not a curated record